This 253-nucleotide ribosomal RNA is filed under the name uncultured bacterium. RNAcentral describes it as "partial 16S ribosomal RNA". It matches the Rfam family "Bacterial small subunit ribosomal RNA", at positions 524 to 776 of the family's 1533-position model. The record is from RNAcentral.
UACGGAGGGAGCUAGCGUUGUUCGGAAUUACUGGGCGUAAAGCGCUCGUAGGCGGCUCAGUAAGUCAGGGGUGAAAUCCCGGGGCUCAACCCCGGAACUGCCCUUGAAACUGCUAAGCUAGAGUCCUGGAGAGGCGAGUGGAAUUCCGAGUGUAGAGGUGAAAUUCGUAGAUAUUCGGAAGAACACCAGUGGCGAAGGCGACUCGCUGGACAGGUAUUGACGCUGAGGUGCGAAAGCGUGGGGAGCAAACAGG